RNAcentral lists this transfer RNA (84 nucleotides) under Pyrodictium delaneyi. RNAcentral describes it as "tRNA-Lys". It matches the Rfam family "tRNA". Rfam says of the family: Transfer RNA (tRNA) molecules are approximately 80 nucleotides in length. Lineage: Archaea; Thermoproteati; Thermoproteota; Thermoprotei; Desulfurococcales; Pyrodictiaceae. The record is from RNAcentral.
GGGCCCGUAGCUCAGCCUGGUAGAGCGGCGGGCUCUUACCUGGCUGGGCGGAAGUCCCGGGUUCGAAUCCCGGCGGGCCCGCCA